GCGGAGGGCCGGAUGGCCGCGGCACUGGCAACAGGGUCGAGGAAAGUCCGGACUCCAAAAAGCAACGGUGCCGGGUAACGCCCGGGCAAAGCAAUUUGACGGAAAGCGCCACAGAAAACAGACCACCUGUCGUGCAGGUCGGGCAACCGAAACCGCCGACGGGCAAGGGUGAAAAGGUGGGGUAAGAGCCCACCGCGCGGCUGGCAACAGCGGCGGCAUGGCAAGCCCCACCGGGAGCAAUGCCAAAUAGGGACCGCGCGUCGCAAGACGGGGCCGCUUUGGCUCAGCAGGUCCGGGUUGGCAGCUAGAGCCUUGCGGGCAACCGCCGGGCAAGAGGAAUGGUCAUCGAACCGGGGGCAACUUCGGGGAACAGAAUCCGGCUUACAGGCCCUCCGCGCAC
This 400-nucleotide RNase P RNA is filed under the name Roseobacter denitrificans. RNAcentral's name for it is "RNase P RNA component class A". It matches the Rfam family "Bacterial RNase P class A". From Rfam's summary of the family: Ribonuclease P (RNase P) is a ubiquitous endoribonuclease, found in archaea, bacteria and eukarya as well as chloroplasts and mitochondria. Its best characterised activity is the generation of mature 5'-ends of tRNAs by cleaving the 5'-leader elements of precursor-tRNAs. Lineage: Bacteria; Pseudomonadati; Pseudomonadota; Alphaproteobacteria; Rhodobacterales; Roseobacteraceae. RNAcentral also lists the same sequence under 1 other name. The record is from RNAcentral.